This 771-nucleotide ribosomal RNA is filed under the name uncultured Neocallimastigales. RNAcentral's name for it is "partial large subunit ribosomal RNA". The stretch from base 4 to 661 matches the Rfam family "Eukaryotic large subunit ribosomal RNA", at positions 24 to 664 of the family's 3401-position model. Lineage: Eukaryota; Fungi; Neocallimastigomycota; Neocallimastigomycetes; Neocallimastigales. The record is from RNAcentral.
GUACACGCUGUGACUAGCAUAUCAAUAAGCGGAGGAAAAGAAACUAACAAGGAUUCCCUCAGUAACGGCGAGUGAAGCGGGAAGAGCUCAAAUUUGAAAUCUUGAAAGGUCACCUUUCACGAAUUGUAGUUUAAAGAAGUGUUUUCUGUUACGAUCGUAAUAUAAGUUCUUUGGAAUAGGACAUCACAGAGGGUGAGAAUCCCGUCUAUGAUUGCGAUUUGUAGCUUUGAGAUACACUUUCAAAGAGUCGGGUUGUUUGGGAAUGCAGCCCAAAACGGGAGGUAAAUUUCUUCUAAGGCUAAAUAUUGGCGAGAGACCGAUAGCGAACAAGUACCGUGAGGGAAAGAUGAAAAGAACUUUGAAAAGAGAGUUAAAUAGUACGUGAGAUUGUCAAAAGGGAAGCGUUUAACACCAGUGUUGUUUUCUGAAAAUCAACCUCUGUUAGCUUUAUGCAUGUUUGUUUAGACCUAAUCAGCUAUCUUGCAUGUUCUAUUGUUUGCAGUGGUGCACUUUUCAGUUUACAGGUCAACAUCAGUUUUUUUUACCGUAAAAAAGUUAAAGAAAGGUAGCUCAUGGCUCCGGUCGUGAGUGUUAUAGUCUUUUUCCUAUGCAGUAGGAGAGACUGAGGUCUGCAGUGUAGGCUAUUUGGCUAGAUACUCAGGUGCUAUGUGAUACCAUUUCAUAAACAACUUGUUGAUUAUGUUUUGUCUAUUGCAUACUCGCUUGUACUAUCAUACCUACGCUUAGGAUGUUGAGUAGCGACAUACGCAC